RNAcentral lists this ribosomal RNA (449 nucleotides) under uncultured bacterium. RNAcentral describes it as "partial 16S ribosomal RNA". It matches the Rfam family "Bacterial small subunit ribosomal RNA", at positions 29 to 523 of the family's 1533-position model. The record is from RNAcentral.
AGCGAACGCUGGCGGCAGGCCUAACACAUGCAAGUCGAACGAACUCUUCGGAGUUAGUGGCGGACGGGUGAGUAACACGUGGGAACGUGCCUUUAGGUUCGGAAUAACUCAGGGAAACUUGUGCUAAUACCGAAUGUGCCCUUAGGGGGAAAGAUUUAUCGCCUUUAGAGCGGCCCGCGUCUGAUUAGCCAGUUGGUGAGGUAACGGCUCACCAAGGCGACGAUCAGUAGCUGGUCUGAGAGGAUGGCCAGCCACACUGGGACUGAGACACGGCCCAGACUCCUACGGGAGGCAGCAGUGGGGAAUCUUGCGCAAUGGGCGAAAGCCUGACGCAGCCAUGCCGCGUGAAUGAUGAAGGUCUUAGGAUUGUAAAAUUCUUUCACCGGGGACGAUAAUGACGGUACCCGGAGAAGAAGCCCCGGCUAACUUCGUGCCAGCCGCCGCAGUAA